Molecule: ribosomal RNA, 1119 nt
Filed under: Triticum aestivum (bread wheat)
Lineage: Eukaryota; Viridiplantae; Streptophyta; Magnoliopsida; Poales; Poaceae
Description: partial small subunit ribosomal RNA
Source: RNAcentral
AUGGCGAUCGUCCCACACGGCACCGGGGGGAGCACGGUGUCCAUGGCGAUGCCGAUGCUCACACCGCACAACUACACGGUAUGGGCGAUCAAGGCCGAAGCCAUCCUCGACGCCCAGAACCUCUGGGAAGCGGUGUCGCCGGCCGGCGACACGGCGGUCAACGCGGGGAAAAACAAGACGGCGAGGGUGGUGCUGUUCGGUGCACUCUCCGAAGACUUGUUGAUGCAGGUAUCGACGAAGAAGACGGCGGCUAAGGUGUGGACCAGCUUGAAGACGAGGUUCAUCGGUGCCGAUCGGGUCCAGGCGGCACGGCUCUCCACUCUCCGUGGCGAGUUUGACAACCUGUGCAUGGAGGAGGGGGAGGCACUGGACGCAUACGCCGGCAAAAUCAGCGGCAUGGCAGCAAGGUAUGCUGGCCUCGGCUCGACGCUCGGCGACACCGCCAUGGUGAAAAAAUUGCUCGACACGGUGCCCGAUCGGUUGUAUGCUGCGGUGGCCGGGAUCGAACAGUUCUGCGACAUGGAGACGAUGUCAUUCGAGGAGGCGUUGAGUAGGCUCAAGGCGUUCGACGAACGCUUACGUCGGCGCACGCAGGACAACGGCGGACGAGGCGGCGAUCAACUGAUGUUCACGGCGGCCCAGUGGGAGGCACGACAGCGUCAGCACAGCGGCAACCUCGACCACGACGACGGUGCGAGCAGCAUGGCUUCGGGCACGAGAUGGCGGCGCGGGAAGUGCUACAAUUGUGGCGUUCGUGGCCACUUCUCCCGUGACUGCCGGCAGCCGAAGAAGGAGAAGGCGCUCCUUGCCGACACGACGACGAGCCGACCUUACUGUAGGUCGUGUCUUAGGGGGAGAUUGUUAGGAAUAAGACACGGUGGUGGUGGUGACCAGUGUGUGCGUGCGUGUUGGUCAUGCCGGACUUCGUGGCGAGUGUGCGCGUGUGCGUGCGUUGGGUGCUUGUCGAGUCUAUGCUUAUGUUUGGGUCGUAGUCAAUUAGCAGCAGUCGCGGCUGGACGCAUCAGAACGCGUAGUAGAGGAUGGCGUAGGCGAGCGAGUCCCUGGGCGCUCGUACGUGCGUGCGUAGGAAAGGAAGCUUGGGCUCUACGUCCCGUGUGA